CCUACGGGUGGCAGCAGUGGGGAAUAUUGGGCAAUGGGCGCAAGCCUGACCCAGCAAAGCCGCGUGAAGGAAGAAGGCUUUCGGGUUGUAAAAUUCUUUUCUCAGGGACGAAGCAAGUGACGGUAACUGAGGAAUAAGCCACGGCUAACUACGUGCAAGCAGCCGCGGUAAUACGUAGGUGGCAAGCGUUAUCCGGAUUUACUGGGUGUAAAGGGCGUGUAGGCGGGACUGCAAGUCAGAUGUGAAAAGCACGGGCUCAACCUGUGGCCUGCAUUUGAAACUGUAGUUCUUGAGUACUGGAGAGGCAGGCGGAAUUCCUAGUGUAGCGGUGAAAUGCGUAGAUAUUAGGAGGAACACCAGUGGCGAAGGCGGUCUGCUGGACAGCAACUGACGCUGAGGCGCGAAAGCGUGGGGAGCAAACAGGAUUAGAUACCCGUGUAGUC
Molecule: ribosomal RNA, 443 nt
Filed under: uncultured bacterium
Lineage: Bacteria
Description: partial 16S ribosomal RNA
Rfam family: Bacterial small subunit ribosomal RNA
Source: RNAcentral